GCUUACGGCCAUACCAACCUGGCUAUGCCCGAUCUUGUCUGCUCUCGGAAGCUAAGCAGGUUUGGGCCUGGUUAGUACUUGGAUGGGAGACCGCCUGGGAAUACCAGGUGCUGUAAGCU
This 119-nucleotide ribosomal RNA is filed under the name Carassius auratus (goldfish). Lineage: Eukaryota; Metazoa; Chordata; Actinopteri; Cypriniformes; Cyprinidae. The record is from RNAcentral.